RNAcentral lists this long non-coding RNA (1252 nucleotides) under Chloebia gouldiae (Gouldian finch). RNAcentral describes it as "Erythrura gouldiae (Gouldian finch) lncRNA (ENSEGOG00005009860.1)". The record is from RNAcentral. Lineage: Eukaryota; Metazoa; Chordata; Aves; Passeriformes; Passeridae.
GUCACUGUGGUCACUUCAUGGUGGCCCCAAAGUCACCUCUGCUGCUGUGCCACUGCUCCACGCUGGACAGGGGGAACCCACGGAUGAGCAUCCCACGAUCCAGGAGCUGCAGGAAUUUAAGGGUUAAAAAUCUUCACACUCAAAUCCUUCCACAAAACUCACACAAAGACCCCCCAAAACCCCCCCGGGGUCCCCCAGAGCCUCAGGGGGAACCACUCAGUCACAGGGCUCAGUCUGGGGCGGUAUCGCUUCAUCCUCGGCAAGGGAGACCCCAAAAAAUACCAAAAAUCCCCUUUCCAAUCCCUCUUGCCAAACCCCCAAAGGCCCCUCCACCAUCCCAAAAUCUCCUCAAAAGCCCCUCCAAAAUCCCCUCCCCAAACCCCCCAGAACCGUCUUUUAAAAUCCCAAAUCAUCUCCUCAUAAACCAAAAUUUUAAACCCCAAAAUCCCCGUCCCAAAGCCCCAGACUGACCUGAGCCCCCAUGGCUCGUGCCCUGAGAACAAGGAAAAAAAAACCAUUAAAAUACUAAUUUGAACCAAGCAGGCCCUUAUUAAGAGUGGAAACUUAAAUCCCACCAAACUUUAAAGCCCAUGAUGAGGAUCUGAAGUGGAUCUAUAAAUCUUUAAGUGGCUUCAGCUUUUGGAAAGGGUUAAAACUCCCCCACGUGGGUCUGAUCCCCUCCACGAGGGUUUUGAACCUCCCCACGAGGGAUCUGCCCCCUCUCUUUGGGCAGUGCCACUCAGAGUGUUCCAGAAGCUUCUCCACUGCCCCAUCAGCAAGAGAGAGUUCAGGGUGAUCAUCCUCGCAGCACUGCUGCCCUGAAACCCAGCUUAUUAAACCCACAAUCACUCACCUCAGGCCCAAGCGCCACUUCAUGGGUAACAAUCCUAGAACAGAAACAAAGAAAAGGCGUUAGAGAUAAAAAAAAAUAUUAUAAUUAUGGGGCAGCCAACCCCCAGCUUGGGGCAGGACGAGCCCUCAGAGAAUUUGAAAUUCUUCACCGCGCCAUCAGCACAGGUCUGUGGUAGGCUCAUCCCCGAGCAGGCCCUGGGGAAGGCGCGGAGCCCUCAUGGAACCCCUCAAGGACGGACACAGCGGCUGAACCGUGCGGGGAACAGCGCCGGGGGGUUCCAGGCUGCUCCCCAUCAGCCGGGGGAGAGGGAGUGGAUUAUGGGAGCCGCUGCAGCUCCCUGAUAGCCCCUCACACCCCCCUCAGCACACAGCGCGAUGAAAUCAGAACGCACCUCUCCCC